Gasterosteus aculeatus aculeatus (three-spined stickleback) is the source of this 1094-nucleotide long non-coding RNA. The record is from Ensembl. Lineage: Eukaryota; Metazoa; Chordata; Actinopteri; Perciformes; Gasterosteidae.
CAAGGGCUCUGCCUGCUAUUUAUGCCACACACUCAAGACACCAAUUGUCAAGAAUUUCCCUCCAAACUGUCAUAUGUUACUGAAUGUGUUUGGAGGAAGCAGCCGCGGCGGCGGAGGGCGAGCAGCACGGAGGGAGAGCGCCGCUUUUCAGCGGCUGAGCCAAUUGUCUUCUGGGCAGGAGGGGGCGUGAAGGAGGAAUCUGAACAGACCCACCCGUUACAGUGGCACCCAACGUGACUGGGGGAUGGAAGCGGCGGACGACGACGACCACCAGCAGGGGAUGGCGGCCCAGCCUGUUGUGGUACUCGGCCAGAUGAUCGGGAACCUGGCGGCCCGCAGAGGGAGCGGAAGAGUUCGCCGGCGUCAGCCCGACCAGGAGCUGCGCCACGGUGAGAGAGGCUGCCGCGGACAGAGGAGCAACCCGUACUGGCUCCGCGGCAGGCACCGUUUUCCCCAGCCCGCAACCCACCGGCCCCGGGGAUCCCAGGCACCCUUCCCAACCGACAGAGAGGUUCUCAAGCGCCGGGGCAGAAGUGUUGGAGGUGCGGGCGGCUCGGUCACCUCCAGAGAGAGUGCCUGCUGAUGGAGGUGGGACAGGUGAUCUGACAGGUGGGACAGGUGACCCUCUCCCGGUCCGGGAGCGACGUACCGCGUUCCGGCGGUUUAUCAGAGACUACAGCGAGACAGCAGCUCCGCUCCAUGCUCACUUCCCAGCAGGAGCCGUUUCACUCGUCCGCGGACGCAGCCUUCCAAGAGCAUAAGCGGCGGUUCACCACAGCACCCAUCCUCACGCUUCCCGAUCACGCUAGCCAGUUCGUGGUGGAGGUGGACGCCUCUAGUGACGGGCUCGGGGUCACGACGACUGACGGCAGCGGAAUGGAACUACGAUGUGGGAGAUUGUGAGCUGCUGGCAGUGAAGGUGGCGCUAGAGGAGUGGCGCCACUGGCUUGAGGGGGCACAGCAUCCGUUUCUGGUUUGGACAGACCACAAGAACCUGCAGUACAUUAAGAAACGUUUAAAUUCCCGUCAAGCCCGCUGGUCUUUGUUUUGUUUUUUUAACCUUUUUGAUUUUUCCCUGUCCUACAGACCGGGGG